UCGCGCGUUCCGUAAACUUUUGUACAGCACUGUACACAUUGUGCAGAGCACAACCGGAAAAUAGAGGAGCUUGAGCAACGAGCAUGCAAAUGCCCGCCUGACAAAGAAGCUUCGCAGAGCCAAAGAGAAGUGUGUCAUGACCAACACGGUGGAUCAAAUGGAAAAUCUAAUCCAGACUGCCUCCAACCAGAGCGCUGCUGCUGUUACAGCAGCACCAAUGCUGGACAUCGGCUUAGGUGUUUGCGUGGACGCCGGUGUUCUGCACAGAAUAGAGAGCUGCAAAGGGGAUAGGACAAGGCUGGCCCAUGCCCUCAUUUGGCCAGUGUUUUCUCCCGAG
Molecule: long non-coding RNA, 337 nt
Organism: Ornithodoros turicata
Lineage: Eukaryota; Metazoa; Arthropoda; Arachnida; Ixodida; Argasidae
Exons: 4
Source: RefSeq, a predicted model, not a curated record